RNAcentral lists this long non-coding RNA (646 nucleotides) under Triticum aestivum (bread wheat). Its description in RNAcentral is "long non-coding RNA (TAES_LNC008287)". Lineage: Eukaryota; Viridiplantae; Streptophyta; Magnoliopsida; Poales; Poaceae. The record is from RNAcentral.
UCAGCAACUGGUAAGGAUAGAAAGCUUCAGGACAUAACAUCGGAAUUGCCCAUGUUCCAAAAUCAACAGGGAACACCUCAAAUUCCAUGCCAAAUGACUAGAAGUCAUGACACAAAGAGAUAAGAGACCUUGCACUUGCUAGGAUUGUGACACGUGGUUUAAUAGUGGAGAGGCCACCUUACACUUGCAACUUAGAAAUUUCAUCCAAGUAUAACAGCAGAAAAAUAUACAUGUGUUUACAGUCAGAUCACCGUAGAAAAGAAUUUCCACAAACCAGCAACAGUUAAAAAUUAGUAGUGCUUUUUCACAAAGUUCAUGACCCAAGAUACUUGGUGCUCCUCAUGCAUAGCCAUAUGUGCAGAGCCAAGAUACUUGGCCUUGUUGACCACCAAAUGAGAUAAGGCAACAAACAACGCUUCCUCGGGCACUAAGAGGGGUUUCAAUUGCAGUAUAGGAAAUCCCACAAGGAGCUGCUACUUUGGAGGACCUAGGCACUAAAUUACAGAUAAAGAUGUUAUUUCUAAUAUAUCUAUAGUACUACAUGUGGCCACACUAUAGAAACAUCCCUCCUCGACCUGGCAGCCAGUUCAAGAGUCUGUAGGACCUGUAACAAAUAACAACAUAACAUGAGUAUCAAAUAACCAAG